Podarcis lilfordi (Lilford's wall lizard) is the source of this 80-nucleotide non-coding RNA. NCBI's taxonomy places the organism in Eukaryota, Metazoa, Chordata, Lepidosauria, Squamata, Lacertidae. The record is from the annotation of a GenBank genome assembly.
GCCCAGCUGGGAGCUGAACUGCAACAACGAGCAUGAGACUCAUAAUCUCAAGGUUGUGGGUUCAAGCCCCAGGUUGGGCA